AUUGAAAUCCAGAUGAUCGCUCUUUUUGCCUUCGGGCGGGAAGGGAGGAAAGUCCGGACUCCACAGGGGAGGGUGCUGGCUAACGGCCAGGGUUCGCCGUAAGGCGGAUACGGAAAGUGCCACAGAGACGAGGCCCGGGGAAACCCGGGGGUGAAACGCGGCAAACCCCACCCGGAGCAAGGUCAAAUAGGUAACCGUUACGAGGCUCCCCGGCCCAGGUUACGGGUAGACCGCUAGAGGCCCAAAGUAAUUUGGGUCCCAGAUAAAUGAUCAUCCACGACAGAAUCCGGCUUACGGAUUUCUUUUGAA
This 309-nucleotide RNase P RNA is filed under the name Deltaproteobacteria bacterium. RNAcentral's name for it is "RNase P RNA component class A". It matches the Rfam family "Bacterial RNase P class A". From Rfam's summary of the family: Ribonuclease P (RNase P) is a ubiquitous endoribonuclease, found in archaea, bacteria and eukarya as well as chloroplasts and mitochondria. Its best characterised activity is the generation of mature 5'-ends of tRNAs by cleaving the 5'-leader elements of precursor-tRNAs. Lineage: Bacteria; Pseudomonadati; Myxococcota; Myxococcia. The record is from RNAcentral.